Molecule: non-coding RNA, 717 nt
Organism: Chlorocebus sabaeus (green monkey)
Lineage: Eukaryota; Metazoa; Chordata; Mammalia; Primates; Cercopithecidae
Source: RefSeq, a predicted model, not a curated record
AAGCCCCGCCCCACGCCCUACGUCGCGUUAAGUGGGGUCCCUCGCCAGCCCCGAGCUGGUCUUACGCCAUGUGGCGCUGUGGCGCGCGGAGGGGGUUGAGUUCUCUGAGGCGGCUGAGCGGCGGUCUAGACAUGCACACCACAGAGCGUGGCGAUGGAACAGUAACCGGGCUUGUGAGAGGGCUCUACACUAUCAACUAGGAGACAAGAUCCACGGAUUCACCAUAAACCAGGUAUGGGUCCUUCUCGGCACCUCCUCAUAAAUCCACAUACAUUGCAGGUGUGGUUUCUGGCAUAGGUACGGACCCUUUAGGGUGGAGACUAGCCUUGUCCUCGUGUCCCAAGGCCCUGGCCCAGCUCCUGUUGCAUGAUGGCUACUCGGCUGAACAAAGCUUGUGAGAGAAAUGACCCCCGGUCCCUUCCUGGAAUCCCGCGAAGCCUGAUUCUUGUCAGAUUUGAGAGAGUAACACUUCCAGCUGGGUCUGUCAUCAGACACACUCAGGUUUCUGCAGCCAAACCUGAUGAUUCGCUGAGUGUGAGCACGAAGACUCAGUGCCCUGAUCUGUUCAGUCAGGUUUUGCCAUCAAAUAGUUUGCUCUAAACUUCUGCAGAAUCUUUCAGUUUUCUGAGCCUUUUGGGUUUCAAAAUUAUAAAGAAGAAAUUGUGGACUUAUACUUACUUGGGUUUAUAUUAAAAUGGAUUCAUUUUUGUUUUGUUA